UACGUAGGGUGCGAGCGUUGUCCGGAAUCAUUGGGCGUAAAGGGCUCGUAGGCGGUCCAUCGCGUCGGGAGUGAAACGCUGGGGCUUAACCCCAGUCCUGCUUUCGAUACGGGUGGACUAGAGGUAGGCAGGGGAGAAUGGAAUUCCUGGUGUAGCGGUGAAAUGCGCAGAUAUCAGGAGGAACACCGGUGGCGAAGGCGGCCAUCUGGCUCGGUACUGACGCUCAGGCGCGAAAGCGUGGGGAGCAAACAGG
This 253-nucleotide ribosomal RNA is filed under the name uncultured bacterium. RNAcentral's name for it is "partial 16S ribosomal RNA". It matches the Rfam family "Bacterial small subunit ribosomal RNA", at positions 524 to 776 of the family's 1533-position model. The record is from RNAcentral.